RNAcentral lists this ribosomal RNA (253 nucleotides) under uncultured bacterium. Its description in RNAcentral is "partial 16S ribosomal RNA". It matches the Rfam family "Bacterial small subunit ribosomal RNA", at positions 524 to 776 of the family's 1533-position model. The record is from RNAcentral.
UACGAAGGGGGCUAGCGUUGCUCGGAAUCACUGGGCGUAAAGCGCACGUAGGCGGAUCGAUCAGUCAGGGGUGAAAUCCCAGGGCUCAACCCUGGAACUGCCUUUGAUACUGUCGAUCUGGAGUAUGGAAGAGGUGAGUGGAAUUCCGAGUGUAGAGGUGAAAUUCGUAGAUAUUCGGAGGAACACCAGUGGCGAAGGCGGCUCACUGGUCCAAUACUGACGCUGAGGUGCGAAAGCGUGGGGAGCAAACAGG